RNAcentral lists this long non-coding RNA (1166 nucleotides) under Sus scrofa (pig). RNAcentral describes it as "lncRNA (ENSSSCG00015042254.1)". Lineage: Eukaryota; Metazoa; Chordata; Mammalia; Artiodactyla; Suidae. The record is from RNAcentral.
AUGGGCAUAACGUCUAAGCAGCCCCGCGGCGGAUGCGCACAAGGUUUAGCGCGCAGCUGGAAACGCUCUAAGUACUGUUGCGAAACGUACUGCAUAGACGCCCCCCGCGACGCCGAGAGGAGAGCUAGGCCUACUCUGCACCGAGCCUGCGAGCUCCCGACCUUCCGGAAGGCUUGGGCCACGAGCACGGAGCACCGAAGCAGGGUUUCUGGCCUUUGGGGGCAGCCCUGGCCGAAAGGUCCAGAAGCGAGGACCCCCAAACGCCUCGAUCCCCCCGCGCAAUCACACCCAGAAAGCUCUAGGGGUGAAAUUGACAGAGGCCGGCCCUGGGGGUGCAACUGACAGUGGUUCCUGGUGGAAAAGUUCCGGGCAAUUGUUUCCGCCAGGGCCCUGUUUUCCUGGUCGCCAUGGCAACCCUGGAGUCCCCACGAACGCCCUCCACAAUCGGGCGCUUGGAGGACAAUCGCCGCGCACNCCCCAAACGCCUCGAUCCCCCGGCGCAAUCACACCCAGAAAGCUCUAGGGGUGAAAUUGACAGAGGCCGGCCCUGGGGGUGCAACUGACAGUGGUUCCUGGUGGAAAAGUUCCGGGCAAUUGUUUCCGCCAGGGCCCUGUUUUCCUGGUCGCCAUGGCAACCCUGGAGUCCCCACGAACGCCCUCCACAAUCGGGCGCUUGGAGGACAAUCGCCGCGCACUUUUGCCGCGCUCCUUGAGGCCUGCAAGGCGCUUCCGCCCUCCGCUCUGGGUUUUCCGGAGCCUCCCUAGUGAGUUCAGCACCGCAGGGAUUGAAAAACUCUCCUUUUUUAAACAGGGGAGAAAAUCGCGAUUUAGGAGAAUCACUGCCAGGUAGGUUUGGGUCUCCAGCAAAAGCUCACGCUUUGAGUUGAAAGCGAUGCACUCAGAGACGCGCACGCGGGCAGCCGGUAGAAUACUUUUCAUCCAAACCCUGAUCGCGAACGUCUCAGCCAGGGACCCGGAACUCACGGAGUCUCUUCACUUAAGCCGAUCACCCCCACGGGUACCCGAGGUUCCCCGCGUGGGUCUGGGCAACCUCGUCGCCUGCCUGGAAGAACGUCUCCUAAAUGGGAGGAGGAAAGUCGGAAACUAAAAUUCAUGUCUGCAGGGUCUUACUGAAAAAAAACAAUAAAUUAUACUCCUUUCCUGCA